UGCCUUGGUACACCUUCUAGAAACACAUUA
This 30-nucleotide non-coding RNA is filed under the name Mus musculus (house mouse). Lineage: Eukaryota; Metazoa; Chordata; Mammalia; Rodentia; Muridae. The record is from RNAcentral.